GGGAGCGUAGCUCAAUGGACAGAGCACCGAUCUUCUAAAUCGGGUGUUGUAGGUUCAAGUCCUACCGUUCCCG
RNAcentral lists this transfer RNA (73 nucleotides) under Cyanobacteria bacterium SBLK. RNAcentral's name for it is "tRNA-Arg". It matches the Rfam family "tRNA". Rfam says of the family: Transfer RNA (tRNA) molecules are approximately 80 nucleotides in length. Their secondary structure includes four short double-helical elements and three loops (D, anti-codon, and T loops). Further hydrogen bonds mediate the characteristic L-shaped molecular structure. tRNAs have two regions of fundamental functional importance: the anti-codon, which is responsible for specific mRNA codon recognition, and the 3' end, to which the tRNAs corresponding amino acid is attached (by aminoacyl-tRNA synthetases). tRNAs cope with the degeneracy of the genetic code in two manners: having more than one tRNA (with a specific anti-codon) for a particular amino acid; and 'wobble' base-pairing, i.e. permitting non-standard base-pairing at the 3rd anti-codon position. The record is from RNAcentral. RNAcentral also lists the same sequence under 1 other name. Lineage: Bacteria; Bacillati; Cyanobacteriota.